CCUCAAUCAGGUGGGACUACCCGCUGAACUUAAGCAUAUCAAUAAGCGGAGGAAAAGAAACUAACUAGGAUUCCCUUAGUAACGGCGAGUGAAGAGGGACUAGCCCAAAUUUGUAAUCUGGCUCCUUCAGAGUCCGAGUUGUAAUCUCGAGAACAGGUUUUCCGUGUUGGACCUUGUAUAAGUCUGUUGGAAUAUAGCUUCGUAGAGGGUGAGAAUCCCGUACAUAACAAGGACUACCAAUGCUUUGUGAUACUGUCUCUAAGAGUCGAGUUGUUUGGGAAUGCAGCUCAAAUUGGGUGGUAAAUUCCAUCUAAGGCUAAAUAUUGGCGAGAGACCGAUAGCGAACAAGUACCGUGAGGGAAAGAUGAAAAGCACUUUGGAAAGAGAGUUAACAGUACGUGAAAUUGUUAAAAGGGAAACGAUUGAAGUCAGUCUUGUAGCUUUUCGUUCAACCGCAAGGUGUAUUCGGAUUGCAACAGGCCAGCAUCAAUUUUUGGUGUCGGAUAAGGGUAUUGGAAACGUAGCAAUCUCGGUUGGUUAAUGAUCCUUUACUUGAUACGAUGCGUGGGAUUGUGAGGUAGCGAGUGCCUUG
Molecule: ribosomal RNA, 592 nt
Filed under: uncultured Basidiomycota
Lineage: Eukaryota; Fungi; Basidiomycota
Description: LSU rRNA
Rfam family: Eukaryotic large subunit ribosomal RNA
Source: RNAcentral